RNAcentral lists this non-coding RNA (30 nucleotides) under Homo sapiens (human). Lineage: Eukaryota; Metazoa; Chordata; Mammalia; Primates; Hominidae. The record is from RNAcentral.
CCUCCUACCCGGAANAGGACAGGACCAGGC